UUAUUUGAGAGUUUGAUCCUGGCUCAGGAUGAACGCUGGCGGCGUGCCUAACACAUGCAAGUUGAGCGAUUUACUUCGGUAAAGAGCGGCGGACGGGUGAGUAACGCGUGGGUAACCUACCCUGUACACACGGAUAACAUACCGAAAGGUAUGCUAAUACGGGAUAAUAUAUUUGAGAGGCAUCUCUUGAAUAUCAAAGGUGAGCCAGUACAGGAUGGACCCGCGUCUGAUUAGCUAGUUGGUAAGGUAACGGCUUACCAAGGCGACGAU
RNAcentral lists this ribosomal RNA (270 nucleotides) under Clostridioides difficile. Its description in RNAcentral is "partial 16S ribosomal RNA". It matches the Rfam family "Bacterial small subunit ribosomal RNA", at positions 1 to 280 of the family's 1533-position model. The record is from RNAcentral. Lineage: Bacteria; Bacillati; Bacillota; Clostridia; Peptostreptococcales; Peptostreptococcaceae.